UACGAGGGGGGCAAGCGUUGUUCGGAUUUAUUGGGCGUAAAGAGCUCGUAGGCGGCUUGUCACGUCGGAUGUGAAAGCCCGGGGCUUAACCCCGGGUCUGCAUUCGAUACGGGCUAGCUAGAGUGUGGUAGGGGAGAUCGGAAUUCCUGGUGUAGCGGUGAAAUGCGCAGAUAUCAGGAGGAACACCGGUGGCGAAGGCGGAUCUCUGGGCCAUUACUGACGCUGAGGAGCGAAAGCGUGGGGAGCGAACAGG
RNAcentral lists this ribosomal RNA (253 nucleotides) under uncultured bacterium. RNAcentral's name for it is "partial 16S ribosomal RNA". It matches the Rfam family "Bacterial small subunit ribosomal RNA", at positions 524 to 776 of the family's 1533-position model. The record is from RNAcentral.